Molecule: ribosomal RNA, 1670 nt
Filed under: human gut metagenome
Description: bacterial LSU rRNA
Rfam family: Bacterial large subunit ribosomal RNA
Source: RNAcentral
AGGAAAGGUGAAAAGCACUUCGAACAGAAGAGUGAAAUAGUCCCUGAACCCAUACGCCUACAAGCAGUCGGAGCCGCUUCGUGCGGUGACGGCGUGCCUUUUGCAUAAUGAGCCUACGAGUUACUCAUCACCAGCGAGGUUAAGUACUUCAGGUACGUAAGCCGAAGCGAAAGCGAGUCUGAAUAGGGCGUCAAGUUGGUGGUGGUAGACGCGAAACCUUAGUGAUCUACCCAUGGGCAGGGUGAAGGUUUGGUAACACAAACUGGAGGCCCGAACCGGUAAACGUUGAAAAGUUUUCGGAUGACCUGUGGGUAGGGGUGAAAGGCCAAUCAAACUGGGAAAUAGCUCGUACUCUCCGAAAUGCAUUUAGGUGCAGCCUCUGUUGUUUUGUUCUAGAGGUAGAGCUACUGAUUGGAUGCGAGGGCUUCACCGCCUAUCAAAUCCGGCCAAACUCCGAAUGCUAGAACAUGAAGACAGGGAGUGAGCCAGCGGGUGCUAAGGUCCGUUGACGAAAGAGGGAGAACUCAGACCAUCAGCUAAGGUCCCCAAUUAUAUGCUAAGUUGGAAUAAAAACGGGGUGGGACUGCUUAGACAGCUAGGAUGUUGGCUUGGAAGCAGCCAUUCAUUUAAAGAGUGCGUAACAGCUCACUAGUCGAGCGGUCCUGCAUGGAUAAUACGCGGGCAUAAGCAUAUAACCGAAGCUAUGGGAUUGUAGAUGAUACAAUCGGUAGGAGAGCAUUCCAUUCAGCAUAGAAGCAGUACCGUGAGGUAUUGUGGAGCGGAUGGAAAAGCAAAUGUAGGCAUAAGUAACGAUAAUGCGGGUGAGAACCCCGCACGCCGAAAGAUCAAGGAUUCCCCGGCAAUGUCAAUCAUCCGGGGGUAAGUCGGAUCCUAAGGGUAAGCCGAGUGGCGAUCCCGAUGGUAAACAGGUUAAUAUUCCUGUACUGAUCAUAACUGCGAUGCAGCGACGCAGAGGUGACACUGCUGCGUACUGACGGAAUAGUACGUUGAAACCCGUAUUCUUUGAUACCGGUAGUGAAGCACGCCGGUAGAGAUGAAAGGUGAUAGUACCGCAAUGCUUCGGUUGCGCGGAUAAUGCAGGUAAGCUGACUGCCAAGAAAACCUGCUAAGCUUCAGGUAAUGAUCAUCCGUACUGUAAACGGACACACGUGAUCAGGUAGAAAAUACUAAGGCGCUCGAGAGAUUCAUGGUUAAGGAACUAGGCAAAAUGGUCCUGUAACUUCGGGAUAAAGGACGCUCUUGUGAAAGAGCCGCAGAUAAUAGGCCCAGGCGACUGUUUACCAAAAACACAUGGCUAUGCUAAUUCGCAAGAAGAUGUAUAUGGCCUGACACCUGCCCGGUGCCGGAAGGUUAAGAGGAGAGCUCAGAGGUAACUCGAAGGUUUGAAUUGAAGCCCCGGUAAACGGCGGCCGUAACUAUAACGGUCCUAAGGUAGCGAAAUUCCUUGUCGGGUAAGUUCCGACCUGCACGAAUGGUGUAACGAUCUGGGUACUGUCUCAACCAUGAGCUCGGUGAAAUUGUAGUUCCGGUGAAGAUGCCGGAUACCCGCAACGGGACGGAAAGACCCCGUGAACCUUUACUGCAGCUUUGCAUUGAUUUUGGGUAACAGAUGUGUAGGAUAGGUCGGAGGCUUUGAUGCUGCGUACGUC